Molecule: long non-coding RNA, 593 nt
Filed under: Cucumis sativus (cucumber)
Lineage: Eukaryota; Viridiplantae; Streptophyta; Magnoliopsida; Cucurbitales; Cucurbitaceae
Description: long non-coding RNA (CSAT_LNC002473)
Source: RNAcentral
ACCGGAGAAGCAAGAGACCAACCCACCGGAAACUGAAAAGCAAAUAAACCCACUACCGGAGGAGAAGCCGUCUGAAAACAACCCACCGGAGCCAGUAGUUUCGGACUCUGUUACAGAAAACAAAACUGUAACAGAAAUGGAAACCCCAGAUGAGGCAAUCAAAGUGGAAGUUACCAUUGAAAAUGAUGUUCCUCCGGAGAAGACAGAGUCAGCGGAGAAACCAACUGAAACAGAGAAGGAAGUGAAGGUAACUAAUUAGCAAUUGAUCAAUAAAUUAUUUUCGAAACGAAAAUCCCUUCAUUAGUUAAUUACCAACUGAGGAACCAUUAUCCAAAAAUUGUUUCAUUUUCGUCUUCUUUUUUCCUUUUAGUUGUUAUGACUUAUGGGGAAAAAUGCAUACCUUCAUCUUUACUUCUCUCUUAACUACUUUUUGUUCUUCUUUAUGUUUCUGUCUCUGCUUUCAUAGCCCAAAUAUUACUUAUAAAGAUAUAUAUAUUAUAUAUAGAUAUAUAAUUCAACUUAGUCUCGUCUAAUUAGUUAGUCAAUGAUUUAACAUGUAUUGAGUUUUUUUCUUCUUCAAAUAACUUAGAUUU